CUACUCCCGUGGAUUCAGUUGGUCAGCCGGCCGACGCCGAAUCUGAACGCUCCACUGGUGUCCGCUCUUGCUGAUCGGCGGAGGCCGGAGACACACAGUUUCCAUCUUCGGACUGGGGAGAUGACCGUGACGCUCGAGGAUGUCUCUUUGAUCACCGGUCUUGCUAUCGAUGGGAUGCCUCUCUGUAUGAGCACCGAUUCUGAUGGGUGGUGCGAGCAGAUGAUUGCUCUUAUCGGUAUGGCUCCUACCGAGGCUGAGGCUGAUGUAGAGGAGGGAGAAGAGCCGAAGAAGAAGGAAAGGAAAGCAGCCGGAGCUGCUUUCACGUGGAUUCAAGCAAACUUUGUGCAUUGCCCUGCGGAUGCCACUGAUGAUGUGAUACAGACACAUGCUCGUGUCUAUAUGUGGUACGUUGUCUCGAGGACUUUGUUUCCUGACUCCACGGGCAAGAACGCUCCAUGGAUGUGGCUGAAGGCGUUGACCGUCUUCGAUAGCAAAUGGAGCAGGGUUCAGCAACUCUUGCGUACUUGUACCGAUAGGUAG
Molecule: ribosomal RNA, 540 nt
Filed under: Triticum aestivum (bread wheat)
Lineage: Eukaryota; Viridiplantae; Streptophyta; Magnoliopsida; Poales; Poaceae
Description: partial small subunit ribosomal RNA
Source: RNAcentral